Molecule: non-coding RNA, 32 nt
Filed under: unclassified sequences
Description: S4-Flavobacteria ribosomal protein leader
Rfam family: S4-Flavobacteria ribosomal protein leader
Source: RNAcentral
GAUUAUCGAAGGAUUAGCGUUAAUUCAUAAUC